RNAcentral lists this long non-coding RNA (467 nucleotides) under Monodelphis domestica (gray short-tailed opossum). Its description in RNAcentral is "lncRNA (ENSMODG00000040090.1)". Lineage: Eukaryota; Metazoa; Chordata; Mammalia; Didelphimorphia; Didelphidae. The record is from RNAcentral.
CCAAAUUUAGAAGAAAUAUGAAAAUUGUCAAGCUCUCCUUCCUUAGGGGGUAAAGCCAACACUCCCCCAACACGGGCAGGUCAAGGCGAAGUGGUCACAUGAGCCGGGCCAGGGCCAAUGGGGGCUCUGGGAGGGCUGGACAGAGGGAGUUCAGGCCUUCUGGACUCCUCUUUCAGCUCAUAUAAGGAGGAAUCACCGGGAACAAAAGAAACUGACAACUGAUUGGGGCACAUUGAGAAGACCUUGAACUUCCAGAGAACCUACUUGUCUGAUGAUCCUUGAGAAGUUCUUCCUCUGGAUGUGGAUAGUGUUCUUUCUCAUAAGGCCCUCAGAAUUGUCCUGGAUCAUUGCAUUGCCACUAAUGGAGAAGUCCAUUACAAUCAAUCUACAUCUAAUUUCUACCAAAACUGUUUCCCAGUUUUCCCAGCAAUUUUGGUCCUAAAGUGAGUCCUUACCCUGGUAUUUGA